AGCAGCCCCGCCAACCACCAACGGGCCCCGAAAGGGGGUCUGAGGAAACACCACACACCCCACGGCACCACGGCCCCGAAAGGGGCACGGCGAGUAGCCGUGGCAACGGCACAGAAACGACACGGCCACCCCCGGAUGGCUAUGAGGCGGCGUGGGUCCUCCGGCAACGGAGGGCCAGAUAACCCGCUGAUGGACGGCGGGUGGAUGCGUUGAAACGGCCGGUCCCGUGGGGUGCAAGGCCUUGUUUUCCGGGAUGAGUCGCCGUGUGAUCCGGGAGGUUGGCCGCUUAGUCGAAUGUGGCUAGUACUGAAUGUGGGUUAUGGCGGGGCUGCU
RNAcentral lists this RNase P RNA (333 nucleotides) under Thermoprotei archaeon. Its description in RNAcentral is "RNase P RNA component". It matches the Rfam family "Archaeal RNase P". From Rfam's summary of the family: Ribonuclease P (RNase P) is a ubiquitous endoribonuclease, found in archaea, bacteria and eukarya as well as chloroplasts and mitochondria. Its best characterised activity is the generation of mature 5'-ends of tRNAs by cleaving the 5'-leader elements of precursor-tRNAs. Cellular RNase Ps are ribonucleoproteins. Lineage: Archaea; Thermoproteati; Thermoproteota; Thermoprotei. The record is from RNAcentral.